RNAcentral lists this long non-coding RNA (123 nucleotides) under Zonotrichia albicollis (white-throated sparrow). Its description in RNAcentral is "lncRNA (ENSZALG00000006646.1)". Lineage: Eukaryota; Metazoa; Chordata; Aves; Passeriformes; Passerellidae. The record is from RNAcentral.
AAGGUUUUGUUUGACUCUGUUGAGAACUGCAGCUAAAUGUACUGAAGUUACUUAAUCAAACUCAUUGGUGCCUCUGGGUGUGCACUGAAAAGAAUGCAAGAAGAGUCUACCAAUAUGGCUGAU